This 253-nucleotide ribosomal RNA is filed under the name uncultured bacterium. RNAcentral's name for it is "partial 16S ribosomal RNA". It matches the Rfam family "Bacterial small subunit ribosomal RNA", at positions 524 to 776 of the family's 1533-position model. The record is from RNAcentral.
UACGUAGGGUGCGAGCGUUAAUCGGAAUUACUGGGCGUAAAGCGUGCGCAGGCGGUUGUGUAAGACAGAUGUGAAAUCCCCGGGCUCAACCUGGGAACUGCAUAUGUGACUGCACAGCUGGAGUACGGUAGAGGGGGAUGGAAUUCCGCGUGUAGCAGUGAAAUGCGUAGAUAUGCGGAGGAACACCGAUGGCGAAGGCAAUCCCCUGGACCUGUACUGACGCUCAUGCACGAAAGCGUGGGGAGCAAACAGG